RNAcentral lists this long non-coding RNA (1010 nucleotides) under Scleropages formosus (Asian bonytongue). Its description in RNAcentral is "lncRNA (ENSSFOG00015032510.1)". Lineage: Eukaryota; Metazoa; Chordata; Actinopteri; Osteoglossiformes; Osteoglossidae. The record is from RNAcentral.
GGGCGGCCCGAGUGUGAGGCAACAAAGGAGGACAAUGAGCACACAUCUCGUCUUUUGCUCACCUUGAGGAGAUGAUGAGCUCCACUGGACCUUCACAUCAAGGUUCUCCCAGGACCUCGUCAUGGAACUCCGCUUGGGCUGCCCGACACGCCUCUGCUCCACCGUGUGUGUCAGGACAGAGUGCGUCUCACACUCCUCUUGCUUAUCUGCAAGGGACGGAUAUUCAAACGAAGCCCUUCCCAUCGGCCUGGACAAAGAGCUGCUGUCCCACAGUUUGAAUAUUGAGAUGAAAAAGAUGGGUUGAUAGGCGACUUGGAGAGCAUCGAGAAUUCAUAAGAGAUGGGGAAGGGCUGGAACAUGGGUUCUGUUCCAGGGUAAAGGGAGUGAAAGAGAGCCCUCUGGAUGAGGGAGACAAGGCAUUCUGGGAAGACUGAAACGACUGGAAUUGGACUGGCACUGGGGUGAGGGGACAUGGUGCUGUGGGGUCUUUCGGUGCUGCUCGCAUCCUGGCUUUCGUCCGCAGGGUGGUGCAGUUCUGAACCCUUCCAUAACCUGGACGUGAGCUCAGCGCUCCAGAACCUGACCCGCCGCUCAUCCGCCUGGCUACGCCCGGUGCGGAGCUGGCAGCGCGCCCUAGUGGUGCAUGUGGACCUGCAGCUGCAAGCGGUGCUGGAUGUGGUGAAUAGCGAUACGCUCGAACCCGAGGCCUUGGGGUAGAGGCAGCGAGAGAAGGAGGGACCCUUAAAGACUUGUAGUGAUGGGGUGGUUGGGUCUGAACUUGCUUCUUCCCACUGGAAACAUCCAGGUUCAUCGGUGAUGCAGAGUAUGGCUGUGUGUGAGUGUGUACAGUGUGGGUACAGUGUGGGUACAGUGUGGGUACAGUGUGUUUCUUUCCUUGUACUGUUAGGAUGAAAAGGCAGAACGAGUCCAGCUGCAUGUGCUCAUCAGUCAGGUCAGUGUCCCUGUCGCAUUCACACCGAACGCCUUGUGUCCACAGCGGCGCCUCAUGU